Molecule: ribosomal RNA, 433 nt
Filed under: uncultured Ruminococcus sp.
Lineage: Bacteria; Bacillati; Bacillota; Clostridia; Eubacteriales; Oscillospiraceae
Description: partial 16S ribosomal RNA
Rfam family: Bacterial small subunit ribosomal RNA
Source: RNAcentral
ACGGAAGGCAGCAGUGGGGAAUAUUGCACAAUGGGCGCAAGCCUGUUGCAGCGAUGCCGCGUGAGGGAAGAAGGUUUUCGGAUUGUAAACCUCUGUCAACAGGGGCGAAAAUGACGGUACCUGUGAAGGAAGCUCCGGCUAACUACGUGCCAGCAGCCGCGGUAAUACGUAGGGAGCAAGCGUUAUCCGGAAUUACUGGGUGUAAAGGGAGUGUAGGCGGGACUGUAAGUCAGAUGUGAAAUAUGCCGGCUCAACUGGCAGACUGCAUUUGAAACUGCGGUUCUUGAGUGAAGUAGAGGUAAGCGGAAUUCCUAGUGUAGCGGUGAAAUGCGUAGAUAUUAGGAGGAACAUCAGUGGCGAAGGCGGCUUACUGGGCUUUAACUGACGCUGAGGCUCGAAAGCGUGGGGAGCAAACAGGAUUAGAUACCCGGUA